This 498-nucleotide ribosomal RNA is filed under the name uncultured bacterium. RNAcentral's name for it is "bacterial SSU rRNA". It matches the Rfam family "Bacterial small subunit ribosomal RNA", at positions 28 to 517 of the family's 1533-position model. The record is from RNAcentral.
GAUGAACGCUAGCUACAGGCUUAACACAUGCAAGUCGAGGGGCAGCACAGUGUAGCAAUACAUGGGUGGCGACCGGCGCACGGGUGCGUAACGCGUAUCCAACCUUCCCGAUACUCAGGGAUAGCCUUCCGAAAGGGAGAUUAAUACCUGAUGGUGUUUUAAUUCCGCAUGUUAAUGAAACUAAAGAUUUAUCGGUAUCGGAUGGGGAUGCGUGACAUUAGAUAGUAGGCGGGGUAACGGCCCACCUAGUCUACGAUGUCUAGGGGUUCUGAGAGGAAGGUCCCCCACACUGGAACUGAGACACGGUCCAGACUCCUACGGGAGGCAGCAGUGAGGAAUAUUGGUCAAUGGGCGCAAGCCUGAACCAGCCAAGUAGCGUGAAGGAUGACUGCCCUAUGGGUUGUAAAACUUCUUUUAUACGCGAACAACCGCAGGUACGUGUACCUGUCUGCGUGUAGCGUAUGAAUAAGCAUCGGCUAAACUCCGUGCCAGCAGCCG